This 503-nucleotide ribosomal RNA is filed under the name uncultured bacterium. RNAcentral describes it as "partial 16S ribosomal RNA". It matches the Rfam family "Bacterial small subunit ribosomal RNA", at positions 30 to 523 of the family's 1533-position model. The record is from RNAcentral.
AUUGAACGCUGGCGGCAGGCUUAACACAUGCAAGUCGAGCGGGGUGAUGGUGCUUGCACUAUCACUUAGCGGCGGACGGGUGAGUAAUGCUUAGGAAUCUGCCUAUUAGUGGGGGACAACAUCUCGAAAGGGAUGCUAAUACCGCAUACGUCCUACGGGAGAAAGCAGGGGAUCACUUGUGACCUUGCGCUAAUAGAUGAGCCUAGGUCGGGUUAGCUAGUUGGUGGGGUAAAGGCCUACCAAGGCGACGAUCUGUAGCGGGUCUGGGGGGAUGAUCCGCCACACUGGGCCUGAGACACGGCCCAGACUCCUACGGGGGGCAGCAGUGGGGAAUAUUGGACAAUGGGGGGAACCCUGAUCCAGCCAUGCCGCGUGUGUGAAGAAGGCCUUAUGGUUGUAAAGCACUUUAAGCGAGGAGGAGGCUCUUUUGGUUAAUACCCAAGAUGAGUGGACGUUACUCGCAGAAUAAGCACCGGCUAACUCUGUGCCAGCAGCCGCCGUAA